Molecule: ribosomal RNA, 500 nt
Filed under: uncultured bacterium
Lineage: Bacteria
Description: partial 16S ribosomal RNA
Rfam family: Bacterial small subunit ribosomal RNA
Source: RNAcentral
AUUGAACGCUGGCGGAAUGCUUUACACAUGCAAGUCGAACGGCAGCACGGACUUCGGUCUGGUGGCGAGUGGCGAACGGGUGAGUAAUGUAUCGGAACGUGCCCAGUCGUGGGGGAUAACGUAGUGAAAAUUACGCUAAUACCGCAUACGAUCUAUGGAUGAAAGCGGGGGAUCGCAAGACCUCGCGCGAUUGGAGCGGCCGAUAUCAGAUUAGGUAGUUGGUGGGGUAAAGGACCACCAAGCCAACGAUCUGUAGCUGGUCUGAGAGGCCGACCAGCCACACUGGAACUGAGACACGGACCAGACGCCGACGGGAGGCAGCAGUGGGGAAUUUUGGACAAUGGGCGAAAGCCUGAUCCAGCCAUUCCGCGUGCAGGAUGAAGGCCCUCGGGUUGUAAACUGCUUUUGUACAGAACGAAAAGGUUUCUACUAAUACUAGGAGCUCAUGACGGUACUGUAAGAAUAAGCACCGGCUAACUACGUGCCAGCAGCCGCCGUAA